AAUAGAUACCCCGGUAGUCCACGCCGUAAACGAUGAGUGCUAAGUGUUAGGGGGUUUCCGCCCCUUAGUGCUGCAGCUAACGCAUUAAGCACUCCGCCUGGGGAGUACGGUCGCAAGACUGAAACUCAAAGGAAUUGACGGGGGCCCGCACAAGCGGUGGAGCAUGUGGUUUAAUUCGAAGCAACGCGAAGAACCUUACCGGGUCUUGACAUCCCGCUGACCGCUAUGGAGACAUAGCUUUCCCUUCGGGGACAGCGGUGACAGGUGGUGCAUGGUUGUCGUCGGCUCGUGUCGUGAGAUGUUGGGUUAAGUCCCGCAACGAGCGCAACCCUUGUCCUUAGUUGCCAUCAUUCAGUUGGGCACUCUAAGGAGACUGCCGUACAAAUACGGAGGAAGGUGGGGAUGACGUCAAAUCAUCAUGCCCCUUAUGACCUGGGCUACACACGUGCUACAAUGGACGGUACAAACGGUUGCGAAGUCGCGAGACGGAGCCAAUCCGAGAAAGCCGUUCUCAGUUCGGAUUGCAGG
RNAcentral lists this ribosomal RNA (528 nucleotides) under uncultured bacterium. RNAcentral describes it as "bacterial SSU rRNA". It matches the Rfam family "Bacterial small subunit ribosomal RNA", at positions 777 to 1304 of the family's 1533-position model. The record is from RNAcentral.